AUUCCAGCUCCAGUAGCGUAUAUUAAAGUUGUUGCAGUUAAAAAGCUCGUAGUUGGAUUUCUGACUUCAAACACCUGACCCUCCCUCGCUAGAGGUGUGUGUGCCGGAGUGUUUGUAUCAUCCUUUCAGUGAUCGGUUCUACCCUUAACCGGGUCGGAACUGUUAACUGGAUCUUUUACUUUGAAGAAAUUGGAGUGUUUAAAGCAGGCUUACGCCAGAACAUAUUAGCAUGGAAUAAUAAUUUAGGACUUUUGUUCUAUUUUGUUGGUUUCUAGGACGAAAGUAAUGAUUGAUAGGGAUAGUUGGGGGUGCUAGUAUCCGGCGGCCAGAGGUGAAAUUCUUUGAUCCGCUGAAGACUAACUUAUGCGAAAGCAUUCACCAAGGAUGUCUUCAUCA
RNAcentral lists this ribosomal RNA (396 nucleotides) under Cercozoa sp. RNAcentral describes it as "partial small subunit ribosomal RNA". It matches the Rfam family "Eukaryotic small subunit ribosomal RNA", at positions 582 to 975 of the family's 1831-position model. Lineage: Eukaryota; Cercozoa. The record is from RNAcentral.